Molecule: ribosomal RNA, 460 nt
Filed under: uncultured bacterium
Lineage: Bacteria
Description: partial 16S ribosomal RNA
Rfam family: Bacterial small subunit ribosomal RNA
Source: RNAcentral
CCUACGGGUGGCAGCAGUGAGGAAUAUUGGUCAAUGGGCGCGAGCCUGAACCAGCCAAGCAGCGUGAAGGAUGACUGCCCUACGGGUUGUAAACUUCUUUUAUAAAGGAAUAAAGUGAGGCACGUGUGCCUCUUUGUAUGUACUUUAUGAAUAAGGAUCGGCUAACCUCGUGCCAGCAGCCGCGGUAAUACGGAGGAUCCGAGCGUUAUCCGGAUUUAUUGGGUUUAAAGGGAGCGUAGAUGGGUUGUUAAGUCAGUUGUGAAAGUUUGCGGCUCAACCGGAAAAUUGCAAUUGAUACUGGCAGUCUUGAGUACAGUAGAGGUAGGCGGAAUUCGUGGUGUAGCGGUGAAAUGCUUAGAUAUCACGAAGAACACCGGUGGCGAAGGCGGCUUACUAGACUGCCACUGACGUUGAUGCGCGAAAGUGUGGGUAGCAAACAGGAUUAGAUACCCGAGUAGUC